AUGAUGAGCUUUAUUGAGCUGAAUACUCUGUUGAUUUUUUAGGGUAUUAUGAUUCUUACUCGAAUAGGAAGAUCUGAUGC
This is a small nucleolar RNA of Camellia sinensis, 80 nucleotides long. RefSeq annotates it as small nucleolar RNA snoR64a. NCBI's taxonomy places the organism in Eukaryota, Viridiplantae, Streptophyta, Magnoliopsida, Ericales, Theaceae. The record is from RefSeq and is a predicted model, not a curated record.